RNAcentral lists this RNase P RNA (310 nucleotides) under bovine gut metagenome. Its description in RNAcentral is "Bacterial RNase P class A". It matches the Rfam family "Bacterial RNase P class A". Rfam says of the family: Ribonuclease P (RNase P) is a ubiquitous endoribonuclease, found in archaea, bacteria and eukarya as well as chloroplasts and mitochondria. The record is from RNAcentral.
AGUAGUCGCUGGACAAAUUUGUUCAGAGGAAAGUCCGGGCUUCAUAGGGCAGGAUGCCAGGUAACGCCUGGUGAGGGAAACCUUAAGGAAAGUGCAACAGAAAGUAUACCGCCUAAUUUUAGGUAAGGGUGAAAUGGCAGGGUAAGAGCCUACCGCAUUUGUGGUAACACAAAUGGCAGUGUAAACCCCAUCCGAAGCAAGACCAAGUAGAAGCGUUGACGUGGCCCGCUAGCUUCAGGUAGGUCGCUUGAGCCAAGUAUUGGCCUAGAUAGAUGACUACUCACGACAGAACCCGGCUUAUCGUUUCGCU